Molecule: long non-coding RNA, 609 nt
Organism: Daphnia pulex (common water flea)
Lineage: Eukaryota; Metazoa; Arthropoda; Branchiopoda; Diplostraca; Daphniidae
Exons: 3
Source: RefSeq, a predicted model, not a curated record
GGAUCCCGACAUCUGCUUAGCCGGUGCCGGUGCCGACGAGCCACCGUAAGAUGAAGACAUGGGCCUAGCAGGAGCUGCAGCCGGUCGUCCGUAACUCUGUGCCUACUGACCUACUGCGUCUCCCAGAACGGCGAUGGAUAUAUAUAUAAUGUAGGACCUCCAUAAAGCGAAACCGAACUGGCAAAUGUAAUACCGCUGUCAUCUUUCUUUCGCUGCCCAGCAGCGGGUCCGAGAGUGAAAGUCCGACAUCAUUGACACGGUCCGCAGUCUGCAUUGCCGCCACUUCAAAAGAUGGAACUCUUUUUGCGCCGCCUUUCUUCUUUUGCUACAUCUCUCCCGAUAUUCUAUAAAUAGUCAGAGUUACUCCAUCGAUGAUGAAACUAUUUUUCUGGAUGGCCUAUACAAUCAACCCCGAAGUUGCGAGCCUUCAACACUCUGGAAAAAGAGAGAAAUUCGAAUAAUUCAGCGCGGGUAGUUUGAAUUGUUAUUUUAUUUAUUCGUUUGGGCUUGGAAUGAUUAUGAAUGUUCGGGUCGUCGUCAAUGCAUCAGCAUGCUCUUUUCACGUGGCUCCUGCUCGUCUGAUUGGUAAUAAAAAUAAGCUGGAAAUAG